GCACAGGAUGGGCCCCGCCGGCGGGACGGCCAGGCCGUAACCCUCGUUGUUUCCCCUGGCUUAACCAAGGAGCUUGAGGAACAGCAGAAGAGGCAGCGUGUGCCCUGUUUGCAGUGCUGAAAUAACACCGAGACGCUUCAGCACAAUCGGCUGAGAGCGGAUGGUGCCCUGCUACACUGUAGGGAUGUACCAAGAUCAACGCUAGCUGGGCCACAGCAACCGGUAUGCAGGAUGCUGGUUUUGACAUCUCUUCCUGCUGCUAUGGAUUUGUUAUCUACUGGCUGAAAGCCCCUGUCAGGUACACUUCAUACAACCAGUUGCAGCAGCAAAGGUUCUGUUCUUGCUAGAACAGAAACUCCAGUUUCAUCUAUGGCAGCAUCAAGAGAUAAUGGGAUUUGUCACACCAAUGCUAAACUGAGACUAAGCUUCAGCACUUCACAUGGAACUGUUUGUUGAAAGAGGAAGCUGCAGUACCAAAAGCAGUCAGUGCUUGACUGCAUGAGACUGUGCCUCUCACAGAAGGUGAAUGAUGUCUUACUUCGAAAACUUUAUGAAAUGCAAACUCAGUUAAAUCCUUUCAGGUUUCUUCUUUGCAAGGCAACAAUAAAUGAGUAAUUGACUUUCUUAGAGCUGUUACUUGAAUAAUUGGGGAGAGGGAAAGCUAAGGUUCCUACUGAGGUAUGUACAAGAUGUCUUGCUUUCCCUUCAGAUUAAGAUUUGUAGUUUGAUUUACUAUGAAGA
Long non-coding RNA from Gymnogyps californianus (California condor), 741 nucleotides. RefSeq lists it as uncharacterized. NCBI's taxonomy places the organism in Eukaryota, Metazoa, Chordata, Aves, Accipitriformes, Cathartidae. The transcript has 3 exons. The record is from RefSeq and is a predicted model, not a curated record.